GACGAACGCUGGCGGCGUGCCUAAUACAUGCAAGUAGAACGCUGAAGAGAGGAGCUUGCUCUUCUUGGAUGAGUUGCGAACGGGUGAGUAACGCGUAGGUAACCUGCCUUGUAGCGGGGGAUAACUAUUGGAAACGAUAGCUAAUACCGCAUAACAAUGGAUGACACAUGUCAUUUAUUUGAAAGGGGCAAUUGCUCCACUACAAGAUGGACCUGCGUUGUAUUAGCUAGUAGGUGAGGUAACGGCUCACCUAGGCGACGAUACAUAGCCGACCUGAGAGGGUGAUCGGCCACACUGGGACUGAGACACGGCCCAGACUCCUACGGGAGGCAGCAGUAGGGAAUCUUCGGCAAUGGGGGCAACCCUGACCGAGCAACGCCGCGUGAGUGAAGAAGGUUUUCGGAUCGUAAAGCUCUGUUGUAAGUCAAGAACGAGUGUGAGAGUGGAAAAUUCACACUGUGACGGUAGCUUACCAGAAAGGGACGGCUAACUACGUGCCAGCAGCCGCGGUAAUACGUAGGUCCCGAGCGUUGUCCGGAUUUAUUGGGCGUAAAGCGAGCGCAGGCGGUUUGAUAAGUCUGAAGUUAAAGGCUGUGGCUCAACCAUAGUUCGCUUUGGAAACUGUCAAACUUGAGUGCAGAAGGGGAGAGUGGAAUUCCAUGUGUAGCGGUGAAAUGCGUAGAUAUAUGGAGGAACACCGGUGGCGAAAGCGGCUCUCUGGUCUGUAACUGACGCUGAGGCUCGAAAGCGUGGGGAGCGAACAGGAUUAGAUACCCUGGUAGUCCACGCCGUAAACGAUGAGUGCUAGGUGUUGGAUCCUUUCCGGGAUUCAGUGCCGCAGCUAACGCAUUAAGCACUCCGCCUGGGGAGUACGACCGCAAGGUUGAAACUCAAAGGAAUUGACGGGGGCCCGCACAAGCGGUGGAGCAUGUGGUUUAAUUCGAAGCAACGCGAAGAACCUUACCAGGUCUUGACAUCCCGAUGCUAUUUCUAGAGAUAGAAAGUUACUUCGGUACAUCGGUGACAGGUGGUGCAUGGUUGUCGUCAGCUCGUGUCGUGAGAUGUUGGGUUAAGUCCCGCAACGGGCGCAACCCCUAUUGUUAGUUGCCAUCAUUCAGUUGGGCACUCUAGCGAGACUGCCGGUAAUAAACCGGAGGAAGGUGGGGAUGACGUCAAAUCAUCAUGCCCCUUAUGACCUGGGCUACACACGUGCUACAAUGGUUGGUACAACGAGUUGCGAGUCGGUGACGGCAAGCUAAUCUCUUAAAGCCAAUCUCAGUUCGGAUUGUAGGCUGCAACUCGCCUACAUGAAGUCGGAAUCGCUAGUAAUCGCGGAUCAGCACGCCGCGGUGAAUACGUUCCCGGGCCU
This 1369-nucleotide ribosomal RNA is filed under the name uncultured bacterium. RNAcentral describes it as "bacterial SSU rRNA". It matches the Rfam family "Bacterial small subunit ribosomal RNA", at positions 28 to 1381 of the family's 1533-position model. The record is from RNAcentral.